GAUGAACGCUGGCGGCGUGCCUAAUACAUGCAAGUCGAGCGAACAGACGAGGAGCUUGCUCCUCUGACGUUAGCGGCGGACGGGUGAGUAACACGUGGAUAACCUACCUAUAAGACUGGGAUAACUUCGGGAAACCGAAGCUAAUACCGGAUAAUAUAUUGAACCGCAUGGUUCAAUAGUGAAAGACGGUUUUGCUGUCACUUAUAGAUGGAUCCGCGCCGCAUUAGCUAGUUGGUAAGGUAACGGCUUACCAAGGCAACGAUGCGUAGCCGACCUGAGAGGGUGAUCGGCCACACUGGAACUGAGACACGGUCCAGACUCCUACGGGAGGCAGCAGUAGGGAAUCUUCCGCAAUGGGCGAAAGCUUGACGGAGCAACGCCGCGUGAGUGAUGAAGGUCUUCGGAUCGUAAAACUCUGUUAUUAGGGAAGAACAAAUGUGUAAGUAACUAUGCACGUCUUGACGGUACCUAAUCAGAAGGCCACGGCUAACUACGUG
This 497-nucleotide ribosomal RNA is filed under the name uncultured bacterium. RNAcentral describes it as "partial 16S ribosomal RNA". It matches the Rfam family "Bacterial small subunit ribosomal RNA", at positions 28 to 507 of the family's 1533-position model. The record is from RNAcentral.